GACGAAGCAAAAGGAAACCAAAAAACUAGCUAAACUAAGUAAUUAAUCGACCAACCAACCCUGAAGAAGAAGAAGAAGAGCAAUCUGGGAGCUCCGCUCCACCGCCAUGGCGAUGCAUCCAUGGAGAUGAUGGAAGGAUCAGGCGCGGAAGCAACCGGCGAAGCGGGGGAGGUGGAGGUGGAUCUGGGUGUGGUGGUGGGAGGAGGAGUCGAGGUCGAGGAGGUGGGAGGCGGCGGCGCCGUGG
RNAcentral lists this unclassified non-coding RNA (244 nucleotides) under Hevea brasiliensis (rubber tree). The record is from RNAcentral. Lineage: Eukaryota; Viridiplantae; Streptophyta; Magnoliopsida; Malpighiales; Euphorbiaceae.